This is a long non-coding RNA of Mustela erminea (ermine), 2266 nucleotides long. RefSeq lists it as uncharacterized. The record is from RefSeq and is a predicted model, not a curated record. NCBI's taxonomy places the organism in Eukaryota, Metazoa, Chordata, Mammalia, Carnivora, Mustelidae. The transcript is spliced from 3 exons.
CCGCUCGUUGCAGCCGCGCGCUCAGGCGCCUUUUUCACAAGACGCGCGGUGAGCGCCCUCCCCACCUCCCGCGCUGGGACUCGUCCCCGGAUUCACCAACCGACCCGGUUCUCUUGGCUGCUGUUUGUGGUGGCGAGGCUCGGCACGAGAGCCCAGCCCAGGGGUGGGAGGAAGCUCGAGGUUCUGGGUGUUAAUUACGUAACUGUCCAAACCGGUGAGUGCCGAGCCGGACCGCCCUCGCUCCUGGCUGCGAAGUCCGGCUCCGGAGUCUCGCUGUUUAAUGAUUGUCUAACACAUGCCCGGCGCUCACCCAGGAGGUUGUUGCGAGGGUCCUUAUUCAACCAUUGUCCGUUUUCUAUAAACCGACUAUCAGUACUGCCUACUGAACACAGUUGUGAGGACUCCGUGAGAGGGUUGACUGGAUAGAGCCAACAACUGCUGGGCACCUGUACAGAAAAGAAAAAGCGGGGGAUUGCAGAACCAUGGUGAUGAAAAGUGGAUACUGAUAUAAGAAAGAAGUAGGUAUCACCGCAUGUCCCAAGGACCAUUGGCAGGUUUGAUGAUUUGCUGAGAAGACUCAAGGGACUCAACAUAUAGUUGUAUUGACAGCUAUAAUUUAUUACAGCAAAAGGAUAUUAAGCAAAAUGAGUAAAGGGAAAAAGAGCAUGUGGGAUAUCUGGGGGAACUGGGUAAAACUUCCAAGGGUCCUUUACCUGUGAAAUAAAAUCAAACAGGACAUGCUUAAUUCUUCUGACAAUUCUCACCACGUGUGAAAUGCCACCAACCAGAUAAGCUCAUUAGAGACUCAGUGUCCAGGGUUUUUAUUGAGGGCUGAUCAUAUAAGCAUUCUCUGUCAUGUACUCAAAUUCCAGACUCAAUGAAAAUUGAUGCUCAGCAUAAACCAUAUUGCUUGUACAGUUUAAGAACAGCAAGUCUUAUCAGUUCUGGAAAUGGUGAAAACUUACCCGAAAUACAGGUCUCCAAAUGCCAGCCAAAGGCCAAACUUGUAAGCAAGCCUUUCAAAGACUAGCAGGCAGGCCUGACUUUUCUGCACACUCCCCUCCUGCUGAGGGAACAAGGAGGAAUUUGGGGUUAUCAGAACUUAGAAACUUAGUCCCAAAAUGCUGCGACCUAGAUCUCUGAGUGGAGGCCACUGCUUGGCUGGUGCCAGUGUCUAAGAAGCAUAGAGGUAACACCUCCCUACUCUCAAGCCCCACAGAGCUGGGUUUUAGGUAGCCGAGGAGGAAAUGUGGGUUGAUAUGUGUACAUCUGAGGGGUGCAAUGUAGCCCUUUUGAUCCAGUCCUUCACACACUACGAACGUAGGAAACAGGUUUAAAAAUAAGUAACUUGCACAAACUAGAAAGCAGCACAGCCCGCAAGGGAACACUUGUCUUCUGACCUUGCAUCAGAAUGCUGCUUUGUACUCUAUGACUUCUUGAAAGAGGAAGCAGCAACUUUGUAAUACUAAAAUAUUAGAACUCUAUUUUUUUUUAAACAGCUCAAUUAGAGUCAGUGAGAACUCAAAACUUGAAAUAGUGAUUCAAACCAGAAAUGUGAACAAGAGAAAAGAGGAUAAUUGACUACCCAGGAAAGGCCCACAAAGGAUAACAACAGAGUUUAGGGGCUCAUCUCAGCUUUCCAGAUUCAGACAUUUUUAGUUCAGGACAUUCAGAAUUUAUCAAGAAAAUGGGUCUCCCUGGUAACAUAACCAGCCUCUUAUCCAAUCCUAGAAUUCCUCUUUUGCAACUCCCUGCUACACACUGUGGCAUCUAGUCACAGAAUUUCUUCUACAGACACUGUAGUGUUUGUUGCCUAAACUGUCCUCUUUUCCUAGAGGGUCCUCUUUCCUAUUCGUCUAUCUCUACUCCCGUUCAUCUGGCUAAUUCCUCCUUCAUCCUAUGAAACUGAUCCAAUGUUACCCCACCCAAAAAAUCUCACCCUGGGAAUUAUAUAUAGCUAUAGAUAGCAUGGUUUGAUAUUUCUGUACAGUCCUAAAUCCCACAAAUAUAUUUAUUCUAACCACUUUGUAUUAUAAUUGUUUCUAUGUAUCUUCCUCUCAGCACUGAACUGCUAAAAAAGCUGAAAUACUAGGAUUUCUGUGGUAUUUCUAUAAUAUGUGAAAACAGGAUAUUUUACAUUAAGAUUAUUAUUUUAAAAACCUGAAAUACAGUUUCUAUUCUCCUGUCUUCUCUUUUUGGUGUGCAGUAUUAUUUCUUUAGUCAGUUUGCAUAUGGUAUGAGGUUCAGAUCUUCCAACUCUUGUGUC